RNAcentral lists this long non-coding RNA (2855 nucleotides) under Homo sapiens (human). RNAcentral's name for it is "HSALNT0265934". Lineage: Eukaryota; Metazoa; Chordata; Mammalia; Primates; Hominidae. The record is from RNAcentral.
GGCCCUGGCCCAGGCGCUGCGCUCCGUCCUCCUACCAGGAGGGAGCCCUGUGAGAGAAGAGACCAGCUAUGCUGCUUGUGACUGGGCCUGGCACCAACAGCCACCCCAUGGAGAGUGCACGGCAAUGGCUCCUUCUUCCUACUACCUUCGUUUCUAAGGUCUUCUACAGUUGCAAUGAGAAAAGUAGGUAGAACUAACUCUGUUUUAAAAUAAAUGCUACCUCGUUCCUUCUGGUUGGAUAAGAAGAAGUGAUCAUUUCAGAACCAAACAUGUCAGAACCAACCAGGUGGUGCAGAACUGCACUUCUUGCUGCCCGAGUUACCUAGAGGUGGCCUUGAGACCUUCCUUCUGAGUGUCACAGCCCAGGCCAAGGUCGUCCCCACUGCCUCCCUCCUGGCAGCCAGUCAUCAACUCUUGCAGAACAAGCACAAGAUUGAACAAGCACAAGGAGCACCCACUCUUGGCCCUGCAUCCCGAAGGACCCUCAGAGGUUUGGACAGGGCAGCAGGCUAUCUGGGCAGUGCUGGUCACAUCUUCUCCCUAAGAAGCCGCUGGCCUCAACUUCAGGAGAGCUCACUUGGAACGCUGGAUGCUGUCAGGCAGGGGCUGCAGACACACGAAGUGCUUAGAGGGCAGGGUUCUUGGGAAUCCGGGAUUCGCUUCUGUCUCGGUACUAAUGUUUAGGCCAGAAAUGCCAACACAGCUGUGACUACUGACCCUACAACCUGCAGCAGUGAAUGCUCUUGCCCUUGCUGUACAUGUGUGAAAAUAAGCAGGAGGACAGAAGCUCACCCGAGGCCACCAGCUAGUAGGUAGCAGAGCCAUAGCGUCCAGAGCAUCUUAAUUUAACAGCUUUAGGGACAGAGCCCACCAACACGGCCUUCGCCAUUUGCCUUCAUAGCUCCUGCCAUGCCCAUUACUCCAGAGUCGCAGUGCUCAGAUGCUCAAGAAACAGUCCUGGCUGAUAACGGAUCCCCAACCACUCCCUGUGCACUCAGUGGUCUCCAAAGAGCUGGGAUUUUUUUUACUCAGCAAAAUUUUGUCAGCAUCAUUCCACAUUAAUAAAUAAGCCUUACUGUUACAAUUUUAGUGGCUGCCCGUAUUGUCUAAGUGUGAUGUAUGUAAGUUGCACAGCUUACUGGUUCCCUCUCCCAAACUCAAUCCUGGAUAAGCUAAGGAAGAGGGAUGGAAGCAACAACCGAGGAGUAAACAUGAGGAAAUGUGUUGAGAACCAACCCUCUGGGAGGCAGAACCUGUGUGGCUACAGAGCCUGGAGCCAGGGCUGCUGUCUCUAAACAGGAAAGACAGAAGAACUUCUAGAGUUCAUGCCAACUGCUCAUUAUGGGUGCAGUCUCAGGCCUCAGUUAUGAUAUCUGUUAGCCAGAAUUAAUACAAGAACAUAGGGCUUAUCAUUUUCUGUUGCUACAGAAAGGAACUGGUGAUGUUUAAUUUUCCCAAGAGUAUGGAACUAACAUAGGAUGAGAAAAAUAGGCCAAAGGGAGAGAGCUUCUGUUUUCUCACCUGCAGAGAUGGGAGCACCAAGCCUAGCCUGACAGAUCACUGGGCCAGUUCCCAGAGAAAGCCCUCACAAUGAGCAGUUCCACACUUUCCUUGUACUGCCCUUCCUUCUUCAGGAAGCACCAUAUUUUCCCAUCAACUAGAAGGUAUCUUUCUGGCCUCUGAACUCCAAAGAGUGUAUCAGACACAGCUGCUGCCCCAGAGGAGUUGACAAGGCAACACAUGGUAAGAGCUGCAGCCUGAAGAAUAAAACAUGUCACAUGUCCCCAGAUUGAGAAGGGGUGAAGGGAGAGCCUGGCUGGGAUCAGAGAUAGUGGAGAUGUACAAGUGUGUAAUAGAGGAGUGCCUUGAAAAGUAAACACACCACAAAAUGUUUAUUUUUAAAGAAUAAAUAAAUGGCAAAGGAAACGCAGGAAAGGAAAGAUUUACAAAAUCCAAGUCACUAAAGUGCUUUCAAUCACAAAUUUUGAAAGACCAAAAGCCUGGUCUGACCUAAAAACACUGUUUCCAGCUAUCCAACAAUUGUUUAAAUAUGAUCCCAUGCUAUUUUUAAAGGAAAUGCAGAAACGACUAGAGUAUGGGUUUCUUUGAAUUCCAAUAUGCAUAGCCUAUCAAGUGACACUCAAGAAAACACAAAAUUACUCCCUAACAAGAAAAUUGAAAUAUCCAAGGCCAAGUUCAAGGUAAAGACAAUAUAAUUCAUUCAUGUGUCUGUAUGGAGUCUUCACUAUGAUGAUAUCAGAUUCUUCUGGAUAUUAAACAAUUUUAUAUUUCCUAAUUGAGAAUGAGGACAUCAGACCUAACCUAUUCAUCUAUACAGUACAUUGAACCACACAUCUCAAAUGAUGCCCAGCAGUGAAAUCAUUUUUGAACUUCGGAUCCUCCCUGCUCAAGCUACAAAAGAGAAUCAAAAGUUUUGCACCAAGUUAACUGGUUAAAGUGCCAUUAAGGAACCGUUUCCAUUCUAGAAUGAAAUAGAAUUUUCCCUAGGUCACUCAUCUGUCCUCUUAAAGCAAGUGGCAUUGCAUUUUAUCUUGACAUUGUCAGAAGAAAAUCAAACUGAGAGUAUAUGUCUUGGACAAUUUUUGUCUUUUGGAAAAUGCCAGUGAGGAAUAUGCACAUUUUCAGCCUUUGACAGUGGGACCUGUGGGUCUCAUGUGGCUCCCACCUUCCCUGGCUGGGGCCCCUCCAGUGCCGUGGAGUUGGAGCCUCCUUGAGCACCAGCCCCAGGGUGCACUUUCUUGGUCUCCUGCCGGGCAGAGCUGGAGAGGUCAAUAGCCACAUCUUCCAAGCCAUUCUCAGGGCUCACUUUAUCUGAGCCUCUCUGUGAUCCUGAC